Dendrobium catenatum is the source of this 394-nucleotide long non-coding RNA. RefSeq lists it as uncharacterized. The record is from RefSeq and is a predicted model, not a curated record. The transcript has 4 exons. Lineage: Eukaryota; Viridiplantae; Streptophyta; Magnoliopsida; Asparagales; Orchidaceae.
GAAGAGGAAACAGAGGAGCUAACCAACCAGGUCCUGGAUGAGAUUGGCGUGGACAUUGCAUCACAGCUGUCAGUUGCUCCUAAAGGUCGCAUUGCAGUGAAUAAUAAGAAGGUCGAUAAUGCUGCAAGAACUGUAGCACCGGAAACUGAUGAGAUUGAUGAUUUGGAGAAGAGGUUGGCAUCCUUACGGCGAGCCUGACUGAAUAAUGAUCAUCGAAGUUCUGCAUGAAUUUGCCUGUUUAAUAUUAACGCUUCAGUUUCUUUGUAUUCUUUGGAUGUUUCUUCCUAGAAAUAGAUGCAUCUUUGUAUGGUAUGCAUUUGCGAAAUCAUUGAAGAAUUGAGAAAUAUUUAUAUUUUUCUGCAAUGGGAUUUACAUACAUAUUAUUGAGUGAUAA